RNAcentral lists this ribosomal RNA (253 nucleotides) under uncultured bacterium. RNAcentral describes it as "partial 16S ribosomal RNA". It matches the Rfam family "Bacterial small subunit ribosomal RNA", at positions 524 to 776 of the family's 1533-position model. The record is from RNAcentral.
GACGAACCGUCCUAACGUUGUUCGGAUUCACUGGGCUUAAAGGGCGCGUAGGCGGCCUGGUAAGUCCGGGGUGAAAUCUUUCGGCUCAACCGGAAAAGUGCCUUGGAAACUGCCAGUCUCGAGGGGGGUAGGGGCCUGUGGAACUUCGGGUGGAGCGGUGAAAUGCGUUGAUAUCCGAAGGAACGCCGGUGGCGAAAGCGACGGGCUGGACCCCUUCUGACGCUGAGGCGCGAAAGCUAGGGGAGCGAACGGG